Molecule: non-coding RNA, 145 nt
Organism: Canis lupus familiaris (dog)
Lineage: Eukaryota; Metazoa; Chordata; Mammalia; Carnivora; Canidae
Source: RefSeq, marked provisional
GAAAUGGUUUGCUCAAGUCCGUCGUCACGAGAGGAUCAGGUCAUUGGCUGAGCCCGGAACCGGGGAGGAGGCCCGAGCGCAGGCCGCCUUCUCCGCCCCCGGGUGCAGCGCAAGGGCGCAGCCUCUGCCGUGCGUGUGCAAGUGA